Nymphalis io (European peacock) is the source of this 586-nucleotide RNA transcript. RefSeq lists it as uncharacterized. NCBI's taxonomy places the organism in Eukaryota, Metazoa, Arthropoda, Insecta, Lepidoptera, Nymphalidae. The transcript has 2 exons. The record is from RefSeq and is a predicted model, not a curated record.
GUUUGUGUAUAAUUAUUAUAUAUGCCCUAUAAGUUUUGUUUUCACUUACCUACCUCAUUUUUUAUAGACUCUUUUUAGCCUGAUCCUGUUGGUUUACGCAGACAACGAAGUCAUCGUAGAUCCUUCCAUCGGCGUAGAUCAAUUAACCGCAAAUAGCCUUUAUGAAACAAUAUUUGCCGACUUUUACAAACCUCAGAAGGCACAAACAUCAAGCAAAAAAAGCUCUAAAAAUAGAAACACUUCGAACUUCAAAAACCAGGGUUUACAAGCCCGUGGUAUCAGUUAUGGCUCCGAUAAUAAAAAUAAGCAAUUAAAUAACAAUGACAAGAAUAUGAAAUUUGUUUCUGAUGGUCAUUUUAAUUAUUUACAAUCCAUGGGUGGUUACAAGGCUGAGUAUGACAGCAGAUUAAUAGGUCGGAAAGGAAUAGGUUUUGAUAAAAGAACAGCGACUACUUAUGGAUUUAGAGCACCGAUUACCGCCAAGCAGCUAGAGGUGGUUGGACAGAAAUAUCAAAAGAAAGAUUAUAAUGAAGACAAGCUGUAUCCCUUACUAAUUUAAUUGAUGCAAAUAAAAAAUAUAUAAUUA